RNAcentral lists this ribosomal RNA (458 nucleotides) under uncultured bacterium. RNAcentral describes it as "partial 16S ribosomal RNA". It matches the Rfam family "Bacterial small subunit ribosomal RNA", at positions 28 to 507 of the family's 1533-position model. The record is from RNAcentral.
GACGAACGCUGGCGGCGUGCUUCAUACAUGCCAGUCGAACGAGAAGCUGACUUCGGUCAGUGGAAAGUGGCGGACGGGUGAGUAAUAUGUAGGAAAUCUGCCUUUAGGAGGGGGACAACAGAGGGAAACUUCUGCUAAUACCCCAUAUGAGCGUAGCUGAAAUGCUAUUCUUGAAAACUCCGGUGCCUAAAGAUGAGCCUGCAUCUGAUUAGCUAGUUGGUAGUGUAAUGGACUACCAAGGCGACGAUCAGUAGCUGGUUUGAGAGGAUGAUCAGCCACAAUGGGACUGAGACACGGCCCAUACUCCUACGGGAGGCAGCAGUAGGGAAUUAUGCGCAAUGGGCGAAAGCCUGACGCAGCAACGCCGCGUGAACGAUUAAGCCCUUCGGGGUGUAAAGUUCUGUCAGUGGGGACGAAACUUGACGGUACCCACAGAGGAAGCACCGGCUAACUCCGUG